UAUGUAGGGUGCGAGCGUUGUCCGGAAUUAUUGGGCGUAAAGAGCUUGUAGGCGGUUUGUCGCGUCUGCUGUGAAAAUCCGGGGCUCAACCCCGGACUUGCAGUGGGUACGGGCAGACUAGAGUGUGGUAGGGGAGACUGGAAUUCCUGGUGUAGCGGUGAAAUGCGCAGAUAUCAGGAGGAACACCGAUGGCGAAGGCAGGUCUCUGGGCCACUACUGACGCUGAGAAGCGAAAGCAUGGGGAGCGAACAGG
RNAcentral lists this ribosomal RNA (253 nucleotides) under uncultured bacterium. RNAcentral's name for it is "partial 16S ribosomal RNA". It matches the Rfam family "Bacterial small subunit ribosomal RNA", at positions 524 to 776 of the family's 1533-position model. The record is from RNAcentral.